Molecule: ribosomal RNA, 371 nt
Filed under: uncultured organism
Description: partial 16S ribosomal RNA
Rfam family: Bacterial small subunit ribosomal RNA
Source: RNAcentral
GUAGGGUGCAAGCGUUAAUCGGAAUUACUGGGCGUAAAGCGUGCGCAGGCGGUUUUGUAAGUCUGAUGUGAAAUCCCCGGGCUCAACCUGGGAAUUGCAUUGGAGACUGCAAGGCUAGAAUCUGGCAGAGGGGGGUAGAAUUCCACGUGUAGCAGUGAAAUGCGUAGAUAUGUGGAGGAACACCGAUGGCGAAGGCAGCCCCCUGGGUCAAGAUUGACGCUCAUGCACGAAAGCGUGGGGGGAGCAAACAGGAUUAGAUACCCUGGUAGUCCACGCCCCUAAACGAUGUCUACUAGUUGUCGGGUCUUAAUUGACUUGGUAACGCAGCUAACGCGUGAAGUAGACCGCCUGGGAGUACGGUCGCAAGAUUA